CCUACGGGGGGCUGCAGUCGAGAAUCAUUCACAAUGGGGGAAACUCUGAUGGUGGGACGCCGCGUGCGGGAAUGAAGGUCUUCGGAUUGUAAACCCCUGUCAUGUGGGAGCAAAUUAAAUCGAUAGUACCACAAGAGGAAGAGACGGCUAACUCUGUGCCAGCAGUCGCGGUAAUACAGAGGUCUCAAGCGUUGUUCGGAAUCACUGGGCGUAAAGCGUGCGUAGGCUGUUUCGUAAGUCGUGUGUGAAAGGCGCGGGCUCAACCCGCGGACGGCACAUGAUACUGCGGGACUAGAGUAAUGGAGGGGGAACCGGAAUUCUCGGUGUAGCAGUGAAAUGCGUAGAUAUCGAGAGGAACACUCGUGGCGAAGGCGGGUUCCUGGACAUUAACUGACGCUGAGGCACGAAGGCCAGGGGAGCGAAAGGGAUUAGAUACCCGAGUAGUC
Molecule: ribosomal RNA, 446 nt
Filed under: uncultured bacterium
Lineage: Bacteria
Description: partial 16S ribosomal RNA
Rfam family: Bacterial small subunit ribosomal RNA
Source: RNAcentral